This is a long non-coding RNA of Pogonomyrmex barbatus (red harvester ant), 1096 nucleotides long. RefSeq lists it as uncharacterized. The record is from RefSeq and is a predicted model, not a curated record. NCBI's taxonomy places the organism in Eukaryota, Metazoa, Arthropoda, Insecta, Hymenoptera, Formicidae.
AAAAGAACAUAUCUAUAAUAAAAAUUAAUCCAAUAGAAUUUGUACUAAUAAUGGAUCAUCAACAAAUACGUUUUCAAGCUUAUAUAGUUCUUUAAAUAAAAAAAACUGAAUAUUGAUUACCUAAGAAUUCCAGGUUCGGUACUACGUUAUUCGAAAGCAACGAAGACAUUUUUUUGCAGAUAAAGAAUGUGUUCCGUUUCUCGCAUGAUACGCGUGAUGUAUCAUUUAUCCUUAUCACAAUACAUUAAACAAAGAUAAAUGAUGCAUUAUGCGCAUCAUGCAAGAAAUGGAACGCAUCCAAAAUGACAAUAAUGACCGGAAUGAAUAUUAGCCACAUUUAAAAAAAUAAUUUUGCUCGAUAUGUUGGCACUAUUGACGUCUAUGGACGACAUGGUCAAACUUAGGAUCGAGCUGUGUUUCGCAGUGUCAUUCUGUGUCUCUCUGUGUCAUAGAUGGAAAGCACCAGUGUAGACAUACAGUGUCGCCUGUGUACGUUGUUGGAAAGCACCUCCGGUUUCAUCGUUCAUUUUCACUGCGAAAGAAAUUAUUAGUGACAUAACUAGAAGUAGUAAAGAUCUAUUCAUAUCAAAAUAUUCCAAAAACUACACUGAAGGCAACUUCACGACUGUAAAUAUAACUUUAAUAUUUAGCAAAAUAAAGAGAUACGAACUUAGAUAUUCCUAUCCGUGCAAAAAAGAUAAAUACAUCAACGGCAAUAAGGAAGACAAUUACUGAUAAUUUGUAUGUAUUUCAAACAAACAGAAGCAUAAGAGCUAAGCCAGCUUUAAGAGCUAAGGUCGCUUGAAGACGUCCAAAGUGAUGAACUGCAAUUCAUCGAAGAGUACGAGUCGUUAAAUGAGUUUGCAUCUAACGAAAGAAUCUACACAUCGAAUUUUGUAGGAAAAAAACGUUCUUUAAUCAUAGAAACUGCAAAUCAUAAUUCAAAUAAUGAAGCUGAUAAAGAAAUUAUAAGUGGCGGAAAUGAUAAUUGUACGUUUUAAAUGUGAAAUUAGAUAAGUUUUCUGAAAAUAUUAUAAUUGACUAAAUGACGUUUAUUUAUGGGAAGUUUAAUAAAUAAUAAAAAAUGUAAUUACAA